This 286-nucleotide unclassified non-coding RNA is filed under the name Hevea brasiliensis (rubber tree). Lineage: Eukaryota; Viridiplantae; Streptophyta; Magnoliopsida; Malpighiales; Euphorbiaceae. The record is from RNAcentral.
GCAAUCAUUAACCAUUCAACCCCAAUUAAUAUGAAUUAAAAGAUCUUUAAAAUAUUUAUGAGCAUACCAUUUUUUACUAUUAUCAAUAAAAUAUUCAUUUAUUAUAAAUUUAAAGUUAUACUACACAUCAAUCUCAUUACAUCCAACUACAUUAGUAAAUACAUUACUUAAUCCUCUCAGUCUUUCUCUAGAUAUAAUUCAAUAUAUUUACUACUCUAACUACUAUACUAUAAUAAGAGUGUCUUCAACUAUAUGGACAAUAGCCCUUUCACCCAUAACAAUAAUU